Molecule: transfer RNA, 63 nt
Filed under: Cerion tridentatum costellata
Lineage: Eukaryota; Metazoa; Mollusca; Gastropoda; Stylommatophora; Cerionidae
Description: tRNA-Cys
Source: RNAcentral
CCAAAGAUAGUUUAUCAUCAAACAUAAAAUUGCAAAUUUUAAAAUGAACAUUUCUCUUUGGUC